This 1349-nucleotide ribosomal RNA is filed under the name Novispirillum itersonii subsp. itersonii ATCC 12639. RNAcentral's name for it is "bacterial LSU rRNA". It matches the Rfam family "Bacterial large subunit ribosomal RNA", at positions 893 to 2349 of the family's 2925-position model. The record is from RNAcentral. Lineage: Bacteria; Pseudomonadati; Pseudomonadota; Alphaproteobacteria; Rhodospirillales; Novispirillaceae.
CCCUCGGGGGUAGAGCACUGGAUCGGGACGGGGGGCGCGAGCCUUACCAACUCGAACCAAACUCCGAAUACCGAGGAGUACUAUCCAGCAGACAGACCACGGGUGCUAAGGUCCGUGGUCAAGAGGGAAACAGCCCAGACCGCCAGCUAAGGUCCCCAAGUCAUGGCUAAGUGGGAAAGGAUGUGGGACGGCCAAAACAACCAGGAGGUUGGCUUAGAAGCAGCCAUCCUUUAAAGAAAGCGUAACAGCUCACUGGUCUAAUUAAGCUGUCCUGCGCCGAAGAUGUACCGGGGCUAAAGCCAUGCACCGAAGCUGCGGAUGCACUCAUACGUGAGUGCGUGGUAGCGGAGCGUUCUGUAGGCCUGUGAAGGUGUGCCGUGAGGCAUGCUGGAGGUAUCAGAAGUGAGAAUGCUGACAUGAGUAGCGACAAACAGUGUGAGAAACACUGUCGCCGAAAGUCCAAGGGUUCCUGCGCAAGGCUAAUCCGCGCAGGGUAAGCCGGCCCCUAAGGCGAGGCCGAAAGGCGUAGUCGAUGGGAACCACGUUAAUAUUCGUGGGCCAGGUGGAGGUGACGCCCUCUGUAAGUUGUCCAUCCUUAUCGGAUUGGUUUGGGCAGCGAAAGAGGGCCAGGAAAUAACCCCACCAUGAGACCGUACCCGAAACCGACACAGGUGGACUGGUAGAGUAUACCAAGGCGCUUGAGAGAACGAUGUUGAAGGAACUAGGCAAAUUACCCUCGUAACUUCGGGAGAAGAGGGCCUCAUCCUUGGGCAACCAGGGGUGAGGGGCACAGACCAGGGGGUGGCGACUGUUUACUAAAAACACAGGGCUCUGCGAAGUCGCAAGACGACGUAUAGGGUCUGACGCCUGCCCGGUGCCGGAAGGUUAAGAGGAGGGGUGCAAGCUCUGAAUCGAAGCCCCGGUAAACGGCGGCCGUAACUAUAACGGUCCUAAGGUAGCGAAAUUCCUUGUCGGGUAAGUUCCGACCUGCACGAAUGGCGUAACGACUUCCCCACUGUCUCCAACAUCGACUCAGCGAAAUUGAACUCUCCGUGAAGAUGCGGAGUUCCCGCGGUCAGACGGAAAGACCCCGUGCACCUUUACUACAGCUUCGCAGUGGCAUCAGGCAUUAGAUGUGUAGGAUAGGCGGGAGGCUAUGAACCCAGGGCGCCAGCUCUGGUGGAGCCACCCUUGAAAUACCGCCCUUCCGAUGUUUGCUGUCUAACCGCGUCCCGUCAUCCGGGACCGGGACCCUGCGUGGCGGGUAGUUUGACUGGGGCGGUCGCCUCCCAAAGAGUAACGGAGGCGCGCGAUGGUUGGCUCAGAGCGGUCGGAAAUCGCUCGACGAG